UACAGAGGUGGCAAGCGUUGUUCGGAAUUACUGGGCGUAAAGGGCGAGUAGGCGGCCUUCUAAGUCAGACGUGAAAUCCCCCGGCUUAACCUGGGAACUGCGUCUGAUACUGGGAGGCUAGAGUAUGGGAGAGGAAGGUAGAAUUCCAGGUGUAGCGGUGAAAUGCGUAGAUAUCUGGAGGAAUACCGGUGGCGAAGGCGGCCUUCUGGACCAUAACUGACGCUGAUACGCGAAAGCUAGGGGAGCAAACGGG
RNAcentral lists this ribosomal RNA (253 nucleotides) under uncultured bacterium. Its description in RNAcentral is "partial 16S ribosomal RNA". It matches the Rfam family "Bacterial small subunit ribosomal RNA", at positions 524 to 776 of the family's 1533-position model. The record is from RNAcentral.